GGGUCAGUAGGUUGGUCGUGCCACCGGUACGUACUGGUCUCACUGACUCCUCCUUCCUGAAGAACCGUAAUGCCAUUAAUUUGGUGCUGCGGGGAAACAGGACUGUUACUUUGAAAAAAUUAGAGUGUUUAAAGCAAGCUAACGCUUGAAUACAUUAGCAUGGAAUAAUGAAAUAGGACGAUCGAUCCUAUUUUGUUGGUUUCUAGGAUUGACGUA
This 216-nucleotide ribosomal RNA is filed under the name Glomeromycotina sp. Its description in RNAcentral is "partial small subunit ribosomal RNA". The stretch from base 92 to 216 matches the Rfam family "Eukaryotic small subunit ribosomal RNA", at positions 738 to 864 of the family's 1831-position model. The record is from RNAcentral. Lineage: Eukaryota; Fungi; Glomeromycota.